CUCUAGUCCAAGUGGUCAUCUAGU
Molecule: non-coding RNA, 24 nt
Filed under: Arabidopsis thaliana (thale cress)
Lineage: Eukaryota; Viridiplantae; Streptophyta; Magnoliopsida; Brassicales; Brassicaceae
Source: RNAcentral